This 273-nucleotide ribosomal RNA is filed under the name uncultured bacterium. RNAcentral's name for it is "partial 16S ribosomal RNA". It matches the Rfam family "Bacterial small subunit ribosomal RNA", at positions 524 to 796 of the family's 1533-position model. The record is from RNAcentral.
UACAGAGGUGGCAAGCGUUGUUCGGAAUUACUGGGCGUAAAGGGCGCGUAGGCGGUCUUGCAAGUCCCGUGUGAAAUCCCUCGGCUCAACUGAGGAACUGCACGGGAAACUGCUUGGCUUGAGUUCGGGAGAGGGAAGCGGAAUUCCGGGUGUAGCGGUGAAAUGCGUAGAUAUCCGGAGGAACACCGGUGGCGAAGGCGGCUUCCUGGACCGACACUGACGCUGAGGCGCGAAAGCUAGGGGAGCAAACGGGAUUAGAAACCCCCGUAGUCC